Podarcis muralis (Common wall lizard) is the source of this 1167-nucleotide long non-coding RNA. RefSeq lists it as uncharacterized. The record is from RefSeq and is a predicted model, not a curated record. Lineage: Eukaryota; Metazoa; Chordata; Lepidosauria; Squamata; Lacertidae.
AGCUGGACCUGAGUAUGAGCCCUCUCCGCUCCUGUAGUUUCCAGGAGGCAACUAACUGGCAUUCAGAAGCAUACUGCCUCCAACUGUGGAGACAGGUCAUAGCCAUCGUGGUGAGAAGCCACUGAUAGCCUUAUCCUCCGUGAAUUUAUCUCAUCCUCUUUUAUUUAUUUUUAUUUAUUUCAUAAAAAAUUCUCCUACCUCCUAAUUGUUAAAAAAAGCCUCCAAACUCACAGAGCGGUUUACAAAAUAGAAUAAAACAAUAACAUUUUCUCAGAACACAACCUCCUUUCAUUCCCCAAUCACAGUAGAUGCUUUAGAACAGUGGUUUCAAACCUGGGCCCCAAAAUGUUGCUGGACUAAAACUCCCAUUAGCUAAACAUGGAGUCCUGACAACAACUGAGCACCCAAGUUUGAGGAAGCCUGCUUUAGACUAAAGUGUCUCAGAAUGGAUGGGCAGUGGACUCACUGAUAUACAAUGCUGGCUUAGCAGCUGGUUCCCUAAAGGGUAUCCUUACCUAUUCUUCACAAGCCAAUAUUCUUUGCCUUCUUCUGUUCCAUAUCCAAUUACGACGACUCCAUGAUUUAUAUGCUGAGAACACUUUGGAUCAUCAUAUACACCUACAUAAAAAGGAUAAAGAAUCACUUUCAGGUGAAUGCAACCAUCUUCCUGAAGAAGAAGAAAGAACAACUUUGUUUCAGAUGAUGCACGCAUACAAUAAGCAAAGAUCAUCUUAGAAGAGGGACGUCUUUGUAACUCCCAGUGCCUGUUGAGUGUGGGGUCCUUCUCCCAGUAUGCAGGCGAAGCAGCAGCAGCAAAUGCCAGGAAAACACAGGCCCACAGUUCCAUCCUGCUGAGGCAGACACAGAAAGCUGGGUGUAAGAAACCUUCCUGUUCCAGGAGCCCCUUUCUUAUGUUGUUUCUCCGGCUGAACCUUUCAACAACACUGCUCCUGCUUCACCCGCAUGCUGUUGAUAAAAAGGCUACUUUCGAUUUCUUAUGCUCAAUGUCACAUGGGCCUCCCCACCCCAAUAAAGGAAAUGCCUUGCUUUCAUUACAAUGUAGUCCAUCCUCUCUUACCUCGGCUGUAGAACUGGAAGGAGGCCAGGCUGGCAUCGAUGCCCACAGCGAUGGGGCCUAUCCGGGCAACAGCUCUUUUCAGGGCCUUC